UUGAUCUCAAAUCAGGUAGGACUACCCGCUGAACUUAAGCAUAUCAAUAAGCGGAGGAAAAGAAACUAACAAGGAUUCCCCUAGUAACUGCGAGUGAAGCGGGAAGAGCUCAAAUUUAAAAUCUGGCGUGCCUCCGGCCGUCCGAGUUGUAGUCUGGAGAAGCGUUUUCCGUGUUGGACCGUGUAUAAGUCUCUUGGAACAGGGCGUCAUAGAGGGUGAGAAUCCCGUCUUUGACACGGACUACCAAUGCUUUGUGAUGCGCUCUCAAAGAGUCGAGUUGUUUGGGAAUGCAGCUCAAAAUGGGUGGUAAAUUCCAUCUAAAGCUAAAUAUAGGCGAGAGACCGAUAGCGAACAAGUACCGUGAGGGAAAGAUGAAAAGCACUUUGGAAAGAGAGUUAAACAGUACGUGAAAUUGCUGAAAGGGA
This 425-nucleotide ribosomal RNA is filed under the name uncultured fungus. Its description in RNAcentral is "eukaryotic LSU rRNA". It matches the Rfam family "Eukaryotic large subunit ribosomal RNA", at positions 1 to 417 of the family's 3401-position model. The record is from RNAcentral. Lineage: Eukaryota; Fungi.